CAUGCAAGUCGAACGAUGAAGCCGGGGCUUUUUGUUUUGGUGGAUUAGUGGCGAACGGGUGAGUAAUACGUGAGUAACCUGCCCUUGUCUUUGGGAUAAGCCUGGGAAACUGGGUCUAAUACCGGAUAUUCUGCUUUUGCCGCAUGGUGGGGGUUGGAAAGAUUUUUUGGAUGGGGAUGGGCUCACGGCCUAUCAGCUUGUUGGUGGGGUGAUGGCCUACCAAGGCGUCGACGGGUAGCCGGCCUGAGAGGGUGACCGGCCACAUUGGGACUGAGAUACGGCCCAGACUCCUACGGGAGGCAGCAGUGGGGAAUAUUGCACAAUGGACGCAAGUCUGAUGCAGCGACGCCGCGUGGGGGAUGAAGGCUUUCGGGUUGUAAACUCCUUUCAGUACAGAAGAAGCAUUUUUUGUGACGGUAUGUGCAGAAGAAGCGCCGGCUAACUACGUGCCAGCAGCCGCGGUAAUACGUAGGGCGCGAGCGUUGUCCGGAAUUAUUGGGCGUAAAGAGCUCGUAGGCGGUUUGUUGCGCCUGCUGUGAAAGACCGGGGCUUAACUUCGGGGUUGCAGUGGGUACGGGCAGACUAGAGUGUGGUAGGGGUAAUUGGAAUUCCUGGUGUAGCGGUGGAAUGCGCAGAUAUCAGGAGGAACACCGAUGGCGAAGGCAGGUUACUGGGCCAUUACUGACGCUGAGGAGCGAAAGCGUGGGUAGCGAACAGGAU
Molecule: ribosomal RNA, 720 nt
Filed under: Trueperella pyogenes
Lineage: Bacteria; Bacillati; Actinomycetota; Actinomycetes; Actinomycetales; Actinomycetaceae
Description: bacterial SSU rRNA
Rfam family: Bacterial small subunit ribosomal RNA
Source: RNAcentral